RNAcentral lists this ribosomal RNA (253 nucleotides) under uncultured bacterium. RNAcentral's name for it is "partial 16S ribosomal RNA". It matches the Rfam family "Bacterial small subunit ribosomal RNA", at positions 524 to 776 of the family's 1533-position model. The record is from RNAcentral.
UACGUAGGCAGCAAGCGGUGUUCGGAGUUACUGGGCGUAAAGAGUAUGUAGGCGGUUGGGUAAGUUUGGUGUGAAAUCUCCCGGCUUAACUGGGAGGGUGCGCUAAAGACUGCCUGGCUCGAGUGUGGGAGAGGAAAGCGGAAUUCCUGGUGUAGCGGUGAAAUGCGUAGAUAUCAGGAGGAACACCUGCGGUGUAGACGGCUUUCUGGACCAUAACUGACGCUGAGAUACGAAAGCGUGGGUAGCAAACAGG